Molecule: unclassified non-coding RNA, 225 nt
Filed under: uncultured Alphaproteobacteria bacterium
Lineage: Bacteria; Pseudomonadati; Pseudomonadota; Alphaproteobacteria
Description: contains 16S-23S intergenic spacer region
Rfam family: Bacterial small subunit ribosomal RNA
Source: RNAcentral
AACCCUUGACAUCCCGGUUGCGAGGACCAGAGAUGGACCUUUUCAGUUCGGCUGGACCGGAGACAGGUGCUGCAUGGCUGUCGUCAGCUCGUGUCGUGAGAUGUUGGGUUAAGUCCCGCAACGAGCGCAACCCUCGCCUUUAGUUGCCAUCAUUUAGUUGGGCACUCUAAAGGGACUGCCGGUGAUAAGCCGGAGGAAGGUGGGGAUGACGUCGAACGGUUGGUU